RNAcentral lists this ribosomal RNA (492 nucleotides) under uncultured bacterium. RNAcentral describes it as "partial 16S ribosomal RNA". It matches the Rfam family "Bacterial small subunit ribosomal RNA", at positions 29 to 507 of the family's 1533-position model. The record is from RNAcentral.
AGUGAACGCUGGCGGUAGGCCUAACACAUGCAAGUCGAACGGCAGCACAGUAAGAGCUUGCUCUUACGGGUGGCGAGUGGCGGACGGGUGAGGAAUACAUCGGAAUCUACUUUUUCGUGGGGGAUAACGUAGGGAAACUUACGCUAAUACCGCAUACGACCUACGGGUGAAAGCAGGGGAUCUUCGGACCUUGCGCGAUUGAAUGAGCCGAUGUCGGAUUAGCUAGUUGGCGGGGUAAAGGCCCACCAAGGCGACGAUCCGUAGCUGGUCUGAGAGGAUGAUCCAGCAAAACUGAAACUGAGACACGUUCCAGACUCCUAGGGAAGGCAGCGGUGGGAAUAAUUGAACACGGGGCGAAAGCUUAAUCAGGCAAUCCGGCGUGGGUGAAGAGGGCCUUCGGUUGGUAAAGCCCUUUUGUUGGGAAAAAAAGCAACCGGGUUAAACCCCGCUGUUCUGACGGUACCCAAAGAAUAAGCACCGGCUAACUUCGUG